AUUGAACGCUGGCGGCAUGCCUUACACAUGCAAGUCGAACGGCAGCACGGGAGCAAUCCUGGUGGCGAGUGGCGAACGGGUGAGUAAUAUAUCGGAACGUGCCCAGGUCGUGGGGGAUAACGUAGCGAAAGCUACGCUAAUACCGCAUACGAUCUAUGGGAGUGAAAGCGGGGGAUCGCAAGACCUCGCGCGAUUGGAGCGGCCGAUAUCAGAUUAGGUAGUUAGGUGAGGUAAAGGACUCACCAAAGCCGUACGAUCUGUAGCUGGUC
RNAcentral lists this ribosomal RNA (269 nucleotides) under uncultured bacterium. RNAcentral describes it as "partial 16S ribosomal RNA". It matches the Rfam family "Bacterial small subunit ribosomal RNA", at positions 30 to 292 of the family's 1533-position model. The record is from RNAcentral.